Molecule: ribosomal RNA, 397 nt
Filed under: uncultured bacterium
Lineage: Bacteria
Description: bacterial SSU rRNA
Rfam family: Bacterial small subunit ribosomal RNA
Source: RNAcentral
AACGAACGUUAGCGGCGCGCCUAACACAUGCAAGUCGCACGAGAAAGGGCUUCGGCCCCGGUAAAGUGGCGCACGGGUGAGUAACACGUGGGUAAUCUGCCUUCGAGCGGGGGAUAACGACCCGAAAGGGUCGCUAAUACCGCAUAAGACCACGACCUCGAAAGAGGAUGCGGUCAAAGCUGGCCUCUAUAUAUAAGCUAGCACUUGAAGAUGAGCCCGCGGCCCAUCAGCUAGUGGUAGGGUAAUGGCCUACCAAGGCUAAGACGGGUAGCUGGUCUGAGAGGAUGAUCAGCCACACUGGAACUGAGACACGGUCCAGACUCCUACGGGAGGCAGCAGUGGGAAUCUUGCGCAAUGGGCGAAAGACCUGACGCAGCGACGCCGCGUGAGUGAUGAA